AUUACAAGCUGGGGAGAACUUUCUGGAAGCUGAUUCCAUAUUAGAUUGUUUAAUUGGGAAAUCAGUAGACUUCAUACUCUAGGUACUUCAACUUAUUUGUUUGUGCUUAAGUCUGGCCAACCAAAGCAUAAUCUGAAAGAGAAUUUUGCUGGUAAGAUGAACUUGUUUUCUCAGGUGUGCCAAACUUGAAAAGAAUAAGUAGAAAGGUAGAAAAUGAGUAAAGAGUAUCUUCCAAAAAGGUUGGACCUAUUUGUCUAAAAGUGGGACAAGGAAAACUUUUAUCUCACUUAACUUUUACUUUUGGGUGGCAUUUGAACAGGGCUUGUGUGUUUGGCAGCUCUUCUGUUGAGCCAUCUGUUUCAUAUUAUGCAUUUUCAGAAGGCACUUUGCAUCCAGGGAUACAGUUCCCCAGAACACAGGAGAUGUGAGUUGGAUUUGCAGUCUAGCUAUCUGUAAACAUGGAUAUGCAAUCGUAUGUGCAAAUAAAUUCUGUUCAUUUUGGAGAAAUCGAAGCAUUCAUACAGCUGGAGAAACCUGAGAAAGGAUUUAAGUGGAGAGCCCGUUUCCCUCAUACUGUGCUCAGGCAGUGCAGAAUGAGAGAAAACCACCGAACGUCCCCAGCCAGCUUGCAGUUUUUGGCAUUUCCUUGUCCAGGUUCCAGUGAAACAGUACUUCCCUCCCAGCAGCACUGGGCAGCUCUGAUGCAUCAUAGACCACGGGCUUUUCACAGGAAACACUAAAACUAUGGAUUUGAGCAACAUGUAGGAGAAGAAAAUUUUGCUCAUGUGGUGCAAUGAUGGGAGUAGUGGUAAAUCUAGAACGAGCCAGCAGACUUAAGGGAAAAGCUUCAUUUCAUCACUGUUAUCUUACUAGAGUAUUUUGUUUCCUUUCUACUGAUCUUCAUAUUAGCCAAAGGCACAGAAUGUUUGCAUUAUCAGCAAAGCUUGAGUCUUGUGGUGAUGAGGAUCACACUUAAGUGAUAUCAUUCGUAAUGAGUUGGCCAAAUGGUGGAUCUAUUGCGUUGUUUGGGCAGAUCUUACUCAAUGUGAUAUGCAUAAAGAUUCUCAUAAUGAUGUCAAAUUCAGUGAGGUGGUAGGAAAUAUUUAUUUCUGCUAAAAGAAGCAUAUGUUAUUAUUAUUGUUUGUGCACAAUUUGCACAUCUACAAAUCUAGUAAUUUUACUUUGUUGUGAUAUAUUUCAUCUUGUCAUAGAUCUUGAUAGUACAUUGCUUACUCAAGCUGUAUUACUGUUUAAAUUGGUCUCCAGAACAGUACAGGAAUCAACAAACAUUAUCUCAGCAAUGUUACAAAAUUGUGGUACCUAAAAGAAAUGAGAUAAAUUAAAAUUUUGCCAGCUUGGAUCUUGUUAGUAGAAUAAAUGCUUUUCUCAUAUGAACAAUUUGACAAAUUACUAUAAAGCUAUGAGAGAAGGGGACAAAAUUGUAGGCAUGUAGAAAUGUCAGAUAUAUAAUAACGGUACGGAGGAGAGAGACAAAAAGAGAGAUCCUUUGCUGUUUUUAGAGCCUGCCAAGAGUGUGGCUGCAAUAUUUUGGGAAGAGGAAUCUUUUAGACUAAUGCCAUCUGGCUGGCUUUCAUCUGUGCCAGUUGUCAUACAGGCCAAGUGCCCUGUCCUGCUUCCAAAACAUUUAUUGAAGAAGAAAUUUGGUUAAGAAACACUGUUAAUUCCCUGUUACCUGACUGGAAAUAUAUCAGUUAAAUGACUUAGAAACCCAAGCAAGCAAUCCAGGCUUUGAUCAAAAACUUCUUCAUCCAUGUUCUGAAGCAGUUUUAGGAUACUCUUCCCCUUUCAAGCCUCACUUGGAAGCAAGAAAGGCUGGCUGUACAAUCUGCUCCAAUUUGCUGUCCAAUGCGCAUGAUAAAUACACUGUUUAAAACAAAAUAGGUCAUUUGUCUCAUUCUUUUAAUUACCAACUACUUCUGAGAUACUGUGCACAUUGGUUUUGUUUCCUGUACCUUAUUUUUCCAGAAGGCAGCAAUCUAUCACACCAAGGUUUUUCAAAGCCUAUGUCUGUGUGACAGUACUGGCAACUCAGUUCAUCUAUCAAAUUAGUCAGUGAAGGCAUGUCUCAAUUCUACACUGGAGAUACCUGUGUUUUUAAUUUUGAUUGUGGCAAUUCCAUAUGCUGGAAAAAGGAUUUGAAAUUAUCAGACUUAGAUAUUGUAUUGGCUUUUCUUAAUGAAUUGGCUAUGAAUAUUUUGUGAUGCCAUCCAGGCCUUUGAUGAACUUUUUAAAUUUAAAGUUAACAGACAUCUUGUGUACCUAAGAAUCACUACUACAAAAGUAAGGAGACUUGGAAAGCAAGAAUAAACAUCA
This 2334-nucleotide long non-coding RNA is filed under the name Gallus gallus (chicken). RNAcentral's name for it is "lncRNA (ENSGALG00010026983.1)". Lineage: Eukaryota; Metazoa; Chordata; Aves; Galliformes; Phasianidae. The record is from RNAcentral.